Molecule: ribosomal RNA, 229 nt
Filed under: uncultured Candidatus Saccharibacteria bacterium
Lineage: Bacteria; Candidatus Saccharimonadota
Description: partial 16S ribosomal RNA
Rfam family: Bacterial small subunit ribosomal RNA
Source: RNAcentral
UAAGUGAUAGUGAAUCGUGCGGCUCAACCGCAUACACGUUAUUAACUGCUUAGCUUGAAGAUGAGAGAGGUCACUGGAAUUUCCUGUGUAGGAGUGAAAUCCGUAGAUAUAGGAAGGACACCGAUGGCGUAGGCAGGUGACUGGCUCAUUCUUGACACUAAGGCACGAAAGCGUGGUAGCAAACGGGAUUAGAUACCCCGGUAGUCCACGCCGUAAACGAUGGAUGCUA